RNAcentral lists this ribosomal RNA (217 nucleotides) under uncultured bacterium. RNAcentral describes it as "partial 16S ribosomal RNA". It matches the Rfam family "Bacterial small subunit ribosomal RNA", at positions 118 to 347 of the family's 1533-position model. The record is from RNAcentral.
UGGGAACGUACCUUUCGGUUCGGGAUAACCCAGGGAAACUUGGGCUAAUACCGGAUACGUCCUUAGGGAGAAAGAUUGAUUUGCCGAGAGAUCGGCCCGCGUCUGAUUAGCUAGUUGGUGAGGUAAAGGCUCACCAAGGCGACGAUCAGUAGCUGGUCUGAGAGGAUGAUCAGCCACACUGGGACUGAGACACGGCCCAGACUCCGUACGGGAGCAG